GCACGCACGCACGCACGCACGCACACAGCAUUCCCAGAUGGUCCCGUUCAGCGGGAACGCCUGACUUCCUGUUUUCCCGGACUGCCUUACUUCCUCUUCUGUCUUCUGUCAGCAAUUCUACACCAUGGCUUCCUCCCCAUAAACUCAAUGCCUGCGGGUCACUGAACGCGAGGCGUCCGGAGCACUUCUGAGUUGGAUCAGAGUCCAGUCAGGGGCUGGGCCCAAGGUUUGGGCUCCAGUUUUGGGGACACCACUCAGGCACAGCACUGCUGGAGUGGGGAGUGAACGCUAAUGACAUCCCCAAGAUCAUCUCUAAACAUCCUCCUCUGGCUUCUGCGAAUUGUUCCAGCUUGAUUAUAACACCGUCUCAGAAGGAGAAAUGAAAGACAGUCUGCGUUUCUCAGGAAAACGAUCAAUGAAGGAAAACGAUCAAUGAAUCAAAUUUUGUGGUUUCAUUACUGGAAACCCCGUAGUAUAGAAAAUGUAAAAAAAAAAAAAAAAAAAAAAAAAUCCCGUCCUUGAUCAAGUUGACCGGCUAAUUAACAAGACUUCCAAAUACCAUGCGGGCGGCGACAGCAACCCAAACAUUCAACCGUCCUUGGUCCCGCUAGCGGGCGGGGGUUUUCUUCUCUUCCAGGCCCGGCCUAGAAACUCAUAUUUUAUUCAUGAAAAUCUAGGCCCUGGGAGGCCUCGGCAUAAACAGGAUGUCCCUUCGUUCCCAUCUCCCCAGAUUCAAACCUGGGACUGGUUUUCUGAGAGGCUGAGGCAGGAGGGUCUCGAGUUUGAAGCAAGCAUGGACAACUUGGUGAGACCCUGCCUUGAAAUAAAAUAUGAAAAGGGU
Long non-coding RNA from Heterocephalus glaber (naked mole-rat), 841 nucleotides. RefSeq lists it as uncharacterized. NCBI's taxonomy places the organism in Eukaryota, Metazoa, Chordata, Mammalia, Rodentia, Bathyergidae. The record is from RefSeq and is a predicted model, not a curated record.